RNAcentral lists this ribosomal RNA (529 nucleotides) under uncultured bacterium. RNAcentral's name for it is "partial 16S ribosomal RNA". It matches the Rfam family "Bacterial small subunit ribosomal RNA", at positions 355 to 871 of the family's 1533-position model. The record is from RNAcentral.
UGGGGAAUAUUGCACAAUGGGCGCAAGCCUGAUGCAGCCAUGCCGCGUGUGUGAAGAAGGCCUUCGGGUUGUAAAGCACUUUCAGCGAGGAGGAAGGUGGUGAGCUUAAUACGCUCAUCAAUUGACGUUACUCGCAGAAGAAGCACCGGCUAACUCCGUGCCAGCAGCCGCGGUAAUACGGAGGGUGCAAGCGUUAAUCGGAAUUACUGGGCGUAAAGCGCACGCAGGCGGUUUGUUAAGUCAGAUGUGAAAUCCCCGGGCUCAACCUGGGAACUGCAUUUGAAACUGGCAAGCUAGAGUCUCGUAGAGGGGGGUAGAAUUCCAGGUGUAGCGGUGAAAUGCGUAGAGAUCUGGAGGAAUACCGGUGGCGAAGGCGGCCCCCUGGACGAAGACUGACGCUCAGGUGCGAAAAGCGUGGGGGCAGCAAACAGGAUUAGAUACCCUGGUAGUCCACGCUGUAAAACGAUGUCGAUUUUGGAGGUUGUGCCCUUGAGGCGUGGCUUCCGGAGCUAACGCGUUAAAUCGACCG